AUUUGUUACACAAUAGAAUGCCUGAUCUUGUCAGAUUUCAGAAGCUAAGCAGGGUUGGGUCUGGGUAGUAUGUGGAUGGGAGACCACUGAUAAUAUCAGGUGCCACAGAGG
Molecule: ribosomal RNA, 111 nt
Filed under: Periophthalmus magnuspinnatus
Lineage: Eukaryota; Metazoa; Chordata; Actinopteri; Gobiiformes; Gobiidae
Source: RNAcentral